GGAUGCGAUCAUACCAGCACUAAAGCACCGGAUCCCAUCAGAACUCCGAAGUUAAGCGUGCUUGGGCGAGAGUAGUACUAGGAUGGGUGACCUCCUGGGAAGUCCUCGUGUUGCAUNCC
This 119-nucleotide ribosomal RNA is filed under the name Oryza sativa Japonica Group (Japanese rice). Lineage: Eukaryota; Viridiplantae; Streptophyta; Magnoliopsida; Poales; Poaceae. The record is from RNAcentral.